This is a long non-coding RNA of Hippocampus zosterae (dwarf seahorse), 1323 nucleotides long. RefSeq lists it as uncharacterized. The record is from RefSeq and is a predicted model, not a curated record. The transcript is spliced from 2 exons. NCBI's taxonomy places the organism in Eukaryota, Metazoa, Chordata, Actinopteri, Syngnathiformes, Syngnathidae.
CAACUGGCCGCCUUCGCGCCACUUUCCUGCGCCCGCAAUCUUCUUCAAGCGGACGCAUCGGGACCGCACGUUCACUCGCGGUCAGCCCCGGUCACGUCUCGUCCUUCGUUUUUUUUUUUUGGUCUCUCCGCGGGUCCAAAAGUUUGCGGAAUUGUUGCGCGUUUCGUCCGCUUUUUGUCGGCGACGGCGGAGUGCACGCCAGUCCAGAGCAAGUAGCGAAGAUGGUGGAUUUCGGCUGGGCCACUCUGGAGUGGAGGCAGCAGCAGCAGCACCACCACGAGCUCGUUCCCACCAAGACCCUGAUCAGUCUGUGUAUUGUCAAAGUGCUUACAGUGCAGGUAGUUCUGUGCAAAACCUACUGCAGUGGAGGCACUUAAAGCAAUCUGCAGACACGCGCGCCUCCAGUCGCCCUCAUCUUGCAUGUGUCUUUUGCAGAACUGUCUUUGUGCUAAGGUGCAUCUAGUGCAGAUAGUGAAAUAGACUAGCACCUACUGCCCUAAGUGCUCCUUCUGGCAUAAGGGGCUGUGAUAUGCGCCACCAGACCAAUCCUAAUUUCUAAUUGGGCUCAAAAUGUCUUGCAGUUCUCUGCUAGUUUUGCAUAGUUGCACUACAAGAAUAGAUGAGUUGUGCAAAUCUAUGCAAAACUGAUGGUGGCCUGCUUGCUCUCCACCUGUUUGGAUCUUUGGUUUUUGGAUGUGGCAUCCCCAGAAAUCUCAAUAAAUGCUUUCUUGUGCCGAGUGCAAUGGCAGAAUUGUUUUUUUAGGUCUCCUCAAGAUGCUCCGUGGGUUCAGCAGUACUAAAGUGCUUAUAGUGCAGGUAGUGCUCUUCUUCAAUCUACUGCAAUGUAAGCACUUGAAGUAUUUCUAACUUGGCAGACUCAUUUUGGAAUGCACACGCGCGUGUCCGGCGAUCCAAAGUGACGCCGAUCAUCGCCCGGUCAGUUUUGCUGGUUUGCAUUCAGCUUUAACUGGUGUUUGCUGUGCAAAUCCAUGCAAAACUGACUAGGUGGAUGAAAUAUCGCUUGAAUAUUUUGUGGGAUUCUCACCGUACUUUGUUCAUGUGCUUCUAACGCAGAUUUGUGGAGGUGUCCCUUCUUGCGCAGGUGGGGAUUAGUAGCAAUGCUUUACAUAUAUUUUGGCGGUAUUGCACUUGUCCCGGCCUGUAUCAGAAUGAGGAUAUGGCCACACAGACCUGAACUGUGAUCCCAACUGCUCGUCGUUCGUCACGUGAUGUUUUGAUGUGACCUUGAACAAUUGAACGCGGAUGCAAGUGGCGCAAUGUUUUGGAUGUGUGCUCAUGUGAAUAAAAAUGGUUAAAUCAGAA